Long non-coding RNA from Homo sapiens (human), 1601 nucleotides. RefSeq annotates it as IGSF11 antisense RNA 1. The record is from RefSeq and is marked validated. NCBI's taxonomy places the organism in Eukaryota, Metazoa, Chordata, Mammalia, Primates, Hominidae. The transcript is spliced from 4 exons.
CACAGAAGCUGCAGAGCAACACAAAGGAUCCUGCGGGCUUGAACAAGGGGCUCGAACAAAAAGCAGUUACUCCACAGAAGACCAGAGGGGUCCUCCCAGCAUUGUGGCUCUAUGAGGAAACUGAGACCCAGAGAUGGAACUGGGAUUCAAAACAAUGUCUAGUGUGACUCCAGAGCCUUUCCUAACUCCUACUUAAAGCCUCUGAGGAAUGCUGAAAAGAGCACAGGACAUAGAAUCCAGAUUAAAAUGAUGAAAGUCAUCAACCUUAAAAGAAGCAAAAAAGAAGAGAAUUAGCUCCUCUGUGUAAUUUUUUUAAAUAUAGCAUCAAACCAUCUUCCCGUCAGCAACAGGCACUGCAGUAUUGAAGAUCAUCACAUGAGGGCAGAGGGCGUAAAAAAGGAUGGUGUGUUGAGACCAGAAGCAGCAGCAGUCCUCGACAUCAACUACAACUUUCCUUCGCACAGUGCAUACCCUCUGAUAUACUGAACCCAACGCCUAUCCUCCAGCCCCCUAAGAACUAGAGAGGGAGCCUCACAACAUUCCAAUUUAAUCCUUCAGAAAAUUCAUUACUCUUCAAAGUUGUCUGUGGUUUUGUGACAACGAUAUGACUAGGUGCAAAAUGGCUUGCAACUAAUUAACAAACAUAGAAGCAUCCAACAAACAUAUACGUGCACAAUCUGAGGAUUUAGGGAUGAAAUCAGUUAUCCAGGUUAGAUAUCAACAAAAGAGCAGUAAUUAUAAAGUUUCAUGAAGAAAGUGGCUGUUGAGGUGUGGAUUAUGUAAGUAAGACUGACAACAAGAAAUGAUUUUGUUAUAAUCCAGAAGUAAAACUAAAUAAAUGUUCUUUAAAUUGAUGGAUAAAUAAGAAAGAAUUUAUUUACAACAGUAAAUAAAUCCAAUACUUGUUAUAAAUAAGAUAAAGCUGGCUAUAAAUUCACAUUUUCAUGUGAGCGUUUUGAAGUAUGUGGACAUAAAAAACACACACCUCAAGCAUACUUCUCAAUGAUUUCUGAUAAAGAACACACCUUUGUAACCAGCACAUGGUGUAAAACCAGAAACAGAACAUUACCAGAUUCCUAAACAAGCCUUCUUUGUGCCCCUUUUUAGUCACUACCCUCCCCCAUUCAAGGUAACUUCUAUCUUGACUUCUAACACCACACUUUUAGUUUUGCCUAUUGUUAACUUGAUAUAAAUAGAAUGAUACUGUAUAUUUUGUGUGUGUUUGGCUUCUUCUGCUCCAACUUUUGUUGGUAAGGUUUAUACAGAUUAUUAAAUAUAGCUAUAGUUCAUUUAUUUCUAUUACUAUGCAGUAUACUUGGAUUCAGGAAUACACCAUAACUUAAUCAUCCAUUCUAUUGUUGACUGGUUUGGCAAUUUUCUAAACAUACGCAAAUUCUAUGAACCAGCAAUUCUAUCCCGUGUAUGUGUAUAUAUACACACAUGUUAAAUAUAUACACAGAAACAUGCUGUGAAAGUGCUUUGCAAAUGGCAAAAUGUAAAAUGUAAGGAAUGUUACCAAAGAGCUGAAACGCACUGUGUCUUUCUUGCAACACAGAUUCUUGGACAUAUCAGAUAAUAAAUGUAUUUUGUAUUGAAAAUAA